Molecule: ribosomal RNA, 396 nt
Filed under: uncultured bacterium
Lineage: Bacteria
Description: partial 16S ribosomal RNA
Rfam family: Bacterial small subunit ribosomal RNA
Source: RNAcentral
AUACAGAGGGUGCAAGCGUUAAUCGGAUUUACUGGGCGUAAAGCGCGCGUAGGUGGCUAAUUAAGUCAAAUGUGAAAUCCCCGAGCUUAACUGGGGAAUUGCAUUCGAUACUGGUUAGCUAGAGUAUGGGAGAGGAUGGUAGAAUUCCAGGUGUAGCGGUGAAAUGCGUAGAGAUCUGGAGGAAUACCGAUGGCGAAGGCAGCCAUCUGGCCUAAUACUGUACCGUAGGGGCGAAAGCAUGGGGAGCAAACAGGAUUGGAUCCCCUGGUAGUCCAUGCCGUAAACGAUGUCUACUAGCCGUUGGGGCCCUUGAGGCUUUAGUGUCGCAGCUAACGCGAUAAGUAGACCGCCUGGGGAGUACGGUCGCAAGACUAAAACUCAAAUGAAUUGACGGGG